This 649-nucleotide ribosomal RNA is filed under the name Rhodococcus sp. PLB072. Its description in RNAcentral is "bacterial SSU rRNA". It matches the Rfam family "Bacterial small subunit ribosomal RNA", at positions 141 to 804 of the family's 1533-position model. Lineage: Bacteria; Bacillati; Actinomycetota; Actinomycetes; Mycobacteriales; Nocardiaceae. The record is from RNAcentral.
GGAUAAGCUUGGGAAACUGGGUCUAAUACCGGAUAUGACUACAGCAUGCAUGUGUUGUGGUGGAAAGAUUUAUCGGUGCAGGAUGGGCCCGCGGCCUAUCAGCUUGUUGGUGGGGUAAUGGCCUACCAAGGCGACGACGGGUAGCCGACCUGAGAGGGUGACCGGCCACACUGGGACUGAGACACGGCCCAGACUCCUACGGGAGGCAGCAGUGGGGAAUAUUGCACAAUGGGCGGAAGCCUGAUGCAGCGACGCCGCGUGAGGGAUGAAGGCCUUCGGGUUGUAAACCUCUUUCAGCAGGGACGAAGCGUGAGUGACGGUACCUGCAGAAGAAGCACCGGCUAACUACGUGCCAGCAGCCGCGGUAAUACGUAGGGUGCGAGCGUUGUCCGGAAUUACUGGGCGUAAAGAGUUCGUAGGCGGUUUGUCGCGUCGUUUGUGAAAACCCGGGGCUCAACUUCGGGCUUGCAGGCGAUACGGGCAGACUUGAGUGUUUCAGGGGAGACUGGAAUUCCUGGUGUAGCGGUGAAAUGCGCAGAUAUCAGGAGGAACACCGGUGGCGAAGGCGGGUCUCUGGGAAACAACUGACGCUGAGGAACGAAAGCGUGGGUAGCAAACAGGAUUAGAUACCCUGGUAGUCCACGCCGUA